Thalassophryne amazonica is the source of this 143-nucleotide long non-coding RNA. RefSeq lists it as uncharacterized. The transcript has 3 exons. NCBI's taxonomy places the organism in Eukaryota, Metazoa, Chordata, Actinopteri, Batrachoidiformes, Batrachoididae. The record is from RefSeq and is a predicted model, not a curated record.
GGCAAACAUAUUGUUUUGUAAAGAUACAGCUUGCCAAAAAUAAUAAUUGAACUCAGCAUGUCAAAAUACAUAAAAAUAGAAGUUUUAUUUUCUCUUCUAAUGCAAACACAAACAGAGUUUUGAAAAGCUUCAUGAAAUGAGAA